This is a long non-coding RNA of Haliotis rubra (blacklip abalone), 326 nucleotides long. RefSeq lists it as uncharacterized. NCBI's taxonomy places the organism in Eukaryota, Metazoa, Mollusca, Gastropoda, Lepetellida, Haliotidae. The transcript has 3 exons. The record is from RefSeq and is a predicted model, not a curated record.
CAUCUGGUCCAUGACAGAAAUCUCCCUCUUGUCCUCAAUGCCAGUGCCAGCUACAACCCCAAUGUUGGCCUUCACACUACAAUCAGGUUUUCAUGGCAUUGCCAAAUGGAUGGUCAGCCCUGUGACUGUGUGCCUAGGAUGUGGCCUGGUGUUGGAAAUGACACUGAAAUAAUUCCUCACACUGACCCUGUACUGAGGAUUGAGGGCCGACAUUUGACUGUAGGUCAGAAUUACUCCUUCACUGUGACCCUAGACUCAGACAAUGUGACUGGCAGCAACCACACUGUCUUGGUGACGGCCACUGGUGUUGUCAGCCUGCAACUGGA